UGAGUCGGCCGGGUGAUCGCGGCCCCCUCACCACCCCGGGACCGGGGCAGGAGGGGGUCGAGGAAAGUCCGGACUCCACCGAGCACGGUGGUUGCUAACGGCAACCCGGGGUGACCCGCGGGCAAGUGCAACAGAAAGUAGACCGCCAGGCCGCUCCGGCGGCCGGGUAAGGGUGAAAGGGUGCGGUAAGAGCGCACCGGCGGGGCAGGUGACUGUCCCGGCCAGGUAAACCCCACCGGGAGCAAGGCAUCAUGGCCUGCCACGCCGCAGGCCGGAUCGGACGUUCGAGGGCUGCUCGCCCGAGUCCGAAGGUAGCUGCUUGAGGCGGUCAGCGAUGGCCCGCCCAGAUGGAUGAUCACCGCCCCGUCAAGGGGUACAGAAUCCGGCUUACAGGCCGACUCAUUCG
This is a non-coding RNA of Corynebacterium marinum DSM 44953, 406 nucleotides long. It matches the Rfam family "Bacterial RNase P class A". Rfam says of the family: Ribonuclease P (RNase P) is a ubiquitous endoribonuclease, found in archaea, bacteria and eukarya as well as chloroplasts and mitochondria. Its best characterised activity is the generation of mature 5'-ends of tRNAs by cleaving the 5'-leader elements of precursor-tRNAs. The record is from Rfam. NCBI's taxonomy places the organism in Bacteria, Bacillati, Actinomycetota, Actinomycetes, Mycobacteriales, Corynebacteriaceae.